This 253-nucleotide ribosomal RNA is filed under the name uncultured bacterium. RNAcentral describes it as "partial 16S ribosomal RNA". It matches the Rfam family "Bacterial small subunit ribosomal RNA", at positions 524 to 776 of the family's 1533-position model. The record is from RNAcentral.
UACGUAGGGUGCAAGCGUUGUCCGGAAUUAUUGGGCGUAAAGAGCUCGUAGGCGGUCUGUUGCGUCGGCUGUGAAAACCCGGGGCUCAACCCCGGGCCUGCAGCCGAUACGGGCAGACUAGAGUUCGGCAGGGGAGACUGGAACUCCCGGUGUAGCGGUGAAAUGCGUAGAUAUCGGGAGGAACACCAGUGGCGAAGGCGAGUCUCUGGGCUGUAUCUGACGCUGAUGCGCGAAAGCUAGGGGAGCAAACGGG